This 293-nucleotide ribosomal RNA is filed under the name uncultured bacterium. RNAcentral's name for it is "partial 16S ribosomal RNA". It matches the Rfam family "Bacterial small subunit ribosomal RNA", at positions 775 to 1067 of the family's 1533-position model. The record is from RNAcentral.
GGAUUAGAUACCCUGGUAGUCCACGCCGUAAACGAUGUCUACUAGCCGUUGGGAGGCUUGACCUUUUAGUGGCGCAGCUAACGCGAUAAGUAGACCGCCUGGGGAGUACGGUCGCAAGAUUAAAACUCAAAUGAAUUGACGGGGGCCCGCACAAGCGGUGGAGCAUGUGGUUUAAUUCGAGGCAACGCGAAAAACCUUACCAGGCCUUGACAUCCAGAGAACUUACCAGAGAUGGUUUGGUGCCUUCGGGAACUCUGUGACAGGUGUUGCAUGGCUGUCGUCAGCUCGUGCCG